Molecule: ribosomal RNA, 327 nt
Filed under: uncultured eukaryote
Lineage: Eukaryota
Description: partial 18S ribosomal RNA
Rfam family: Eukaryotic small subunit ribosomal RNA
Source: RNAcentral
CCCUUAGAUGUUCUGGGCCGCACGCGCGCUACACUGACGAAUGCAACGAGCUUAUAACCUUGGCCGAAAGGUCUGGGUAAUCUCCAAAUUUCGUCGUGAUGGGGAUAGAUUAUUGCAAUUAUUAAUCUUCAACGAGGAAUGCCUAGUAAGCGCAAGUCGUCAGCUUGCGUUGAUUACGUCCCUGCCCUUUGUACACACCGCCCGUCGCUCCUACCGAUUGAAUGGUCCGGUGAAGCGUUCGGACCGUGGCCUUUGGACGGUUCGCCGUCUGUUGGCUGCGGGAAGUUCGUUAAACCUUAUCAUUUAGAGGAAGGAGAANUCGUAACA